Long non-coding RNA from Amphimedon queenslandica, 267 nucleotides. RefSeq lists it as uncharacterized. The record is from RefSeq and is a predicted model, not a curated record. The transcript has 3 exons. Lineage: Eukaryota; Metazoa; Porifera; Demospongiae; Haplosclerida; Niphatidae.
AGGAAGCAGGUAUGUUUAAUAUUGUAUUUACUGUAUGUUUCAAUGAUAGGCUUUUGUACAUAGUCUCAAGCCAAUUUUCACCAAAAAUUGCUAGGCUGAUAGUCCUAAAGGUCCAGAAGGUUCUUCAGGUAGUAGGAAUGGCUCUAAUAAGCAUCCAGCCCCUCAUCCUGAUAGUGAAGAUGAUAAAAGUGACGAUGAAGGAGAGCUAGUCGUUGAUGAGGAUCCUUCUUCUCCUUCAAACACUCCAGCAGCUGCAAUGGUAAUGGC